UUCCGGUUGAUCCCGCCGCCGGACACCGCUAUUGGAGUUCGCUUAAGCCAUGCGAGUCGAGAGGGGUAAGCCCUCGGCGCACUGCUCAGUAACACGCGGACAAUCUGCCCUCAAGACGGGGAUAUUCCCGGGAAACUGGGGCUAAUACCCGAUAGACCUGAGAUGAUGGAAGGCUCCCAGGUCGAAAUCCUCCGGGGCUCGAGGAUGGGUCUGCGGCCUAUCAGGUUGUAGGGGGUGUCACGGACCCCCUAGCCGAAGACGGGUACGGGCUUUGGGAGAAGUCGCCCGGAGAUGGAUUCUGAGACACGAAUCCAGGUCCUACGGGACGCAGCAGGCGCGAAACCUCCACAAUGUGGGAAAUCACGAUGGGGGAACUCCAAGUGCCUACGCUUUAAGUGUAGGCUGUUCUCGAGCCUAAAAAGCUCGAGAAGUAAGGGCCGGGUAAGACGGGUGCCAGCCGCCGCGGUAAUACCCGCGGCCCGAGUGGUGCUCAUUAUUAUUGAGCCUAAAGCGUCCGUAGCUGGCCGGGCAAAUCUCCGGGUAAAUCGGGCAGCUCAACUGUCCGAAUUCCGGAGACACUGCUCGGCUUGGGAUCGGGAGAGGGUGAAGGUACUCCCUGGGUAGGGGUAAAAUCCUGUAAUCCGGGGGGGACCACCAGUGGCGAAGGCGUUCACCUAGAACGAAUCCGACAGUGAGGGACGAAGCCCUAGGGCGCAAACGGGAUUAGAUACCCCGGUAGUCUAGGGUGUAAACGCUGCAGACUUGGUGUUGGGGGUCCUGCGUGGGCUGCCAGUGCCGGAGCGAAGGUGUUAAGUCUGCCGCUUGGGGAGUACGGCCGCAAGACUGAAACUUAAAGGAAUUGGCGGGAGAGCACCGCAACGGGAGGAGCGUGCGGUUCAAUUGGAUUCACCGCCGGGA
Molecule: ribosomal RNA, 918 nt
Filed under: uncultured archaeon
Lineage: Archaea
Description: bacterial SSU rRNA
Rfam family: Archaeal small subunit ribosomal RNA
Source: RNAcentral